Rattus norvegicus (Norway rat) is the source of this 567-nucleotide long non-coding RNA. RefSeq lists it as uncharacterized. Lineage: Eukaryota; Metazoa; Chordata; Mammalia; Rodentia; Muridae. The record is from RefSeq and is a predicted model, not a curated record.
GGACCAUGUAGAUUGCUCAACAAAUUCAAGUUCCUAUUAGCAGAUUUCCAGGACCUCAGUCUGAGGAAUGUCGCCCCUCAGUGAUCAAGACCACCUCCAGGCAGCUGCUCACCCUGGCUCAGGGGUCCGAUCUAUCCUGAGUGGUUAAUCAGCAGCGAACUCCGCCCUGGGCUACAAAUGUCUCUGUGGACAAGACCCUUUGAGGAAAACAGCAGGAAGUUCCUUUGUCCAGCCCUCCCAGGACAAGGAGAAAAUCCUGUUUUCACAAGCUCACAGGACUGUUGAGGGCCAGUGGGCGAAGACACAGGCAGCCAGACCCAGCCUGGCCCCCUGCUCCAUGCCCAGGACCCACGUGGCAGAGCCAAGAAGCAUCAGCAAGUGGUCCACACGAACACCAUGACACCUGUGGCCCCCUGCAUCCCAUCCACAUGAACAUCAGGACAUCUGUGGCCCCCUGCAUCCCAUCCACAUGAACAUCAUGACACCUGUGGCCCCCUGCAUCCCAUCAGCAUGAACACCAUGACACCUGUGGCCCCCUGCAUCCCAUAAAUAUAAUGUUAAAGAUGA